GUUUAGUGUCUUUAAAUAUCAGCUGUAUUUGUACGAGGCUAGGAAACUAGGUGUAUGCGAGCUUUUAGCGAGCUAUUACACCUGUUUUGAGCCGCGUACAAAUACAACUGAUAUUUAAAGACACUAA
This 127-nucleotide small RNA is filed under the name Mytilus galloprovincialis (Mediterranean mussel). The record is from RNAcentral. Lineage: Eukaryota; Metazoa; Mollusca; Bivalvia; Mytilida; Mytilidae.